UCGAAACCUAAUCCGAAAGGAACGACCGUGACUUGUGUUAUUAAGCGAUGUGUAAGACCUUAACCAAGUCCUUAUGCACGCCGCUUCCACGGGGGUUGCGCUCGGUUGAUAAAGAUGGUUCGUGUCCUCGUCGAAUUAACCAAACCCCGGCGCGAGUAGCGUCAAGGAACAUAUGUAAACAUAACUUGUCCGGAUGCCGCCCUGGUGGUGUGUCGUCUGAGCAUGUUAAACGUGAUCGUAAUAUAAAACGACUCUCGGCAACGGAUAUCUCGGGCUCUCGCAUCGAUGAAGAACGUAGCGAAAUGCGAUACUUGGUGUGAAUUGCAGAAUCCCGUGAACCAUCGAGUCUUUGAACGCAAGUUGCGCCCCAAGCCGUCAGGCCGAGGGCACGCCUGCCUGGGUGUCACGCAUCGUCGCCCCCAUCCCCUCAGCUUAUUAGCUGGGGUGGCCAUUGGGAACGGAGAUUGGCAUCCCGUGCGAGUUCUCACGCGGUUUGCCGAAAACUGAGCCACGGAUGUGAAGCAUCCAAACAAGCGGUGGUGUGUAAUACAUCUUGCGAGUGUUGAUUGCUUCCAUACGAAUGUGCACAACGACCCUUAAAGAGUCAUCUGUGAUGACUCUUCGAAAGCGACCCCAGGUCAGGCGGGNC
This 649-nucleotide ribosomal RNA is filed under the name Cleome stenophylla. Its description in RNAcentral is "eukaryotic LSU rRNA". The stretch from base 250 to 406 matches the Rfam family "5.8S ribosomal RNA". Lineage: Eukaryota; Viridiplantae; Streptophyta; Magnoliopsida; Brassicales; Cleomaceae. The record is from RNAcentral.